This 198-nucleotide ribosomal RNA is filed under the name uncultured bacterium. Its description in RNAcentral is "partial 16S ribosomal RNA". It matches the Rfam family "Bacterial small subunit ribosomal RNA", at positions 162 to 353 of the family's 1533-position model. The record is from RNAcentral.
GCUAAAACCGGAUAGGUAGCAGACAAGCAUUUGACUGCUAUUAAAGUGGCUAAGGCCAUGAACAUGGAUGGACCUGCGGUGCAUUAGCUAGUUGGUGAGGUAACGGCCCACCAAGGCGACGAUGCAUAGCCGGCCUGAGAGGGCGGACGGCCACAUUGGGACUGAGACACGGCCCAAACUCCUACGGGAGGCAGCAUG